CAGCAGAGGGUCAGCCACGUGAGAGAAAACUCCCCUUAGAAACGAUGCAAUUGCAAACCAGUGAAUGUGCAUGAAGAAUUGGUAAGAGUGUUCUUCCAGAUAGAAACAAAUAAAAAAGGUGUCCAUUGAAGAUGAAGCAGGUUUUGAACAAAUGUGUCUCGGGGACUGUUUGUUAGCUAAUUUUUCAUCGGAGUUUCCAGCUGCACCAGCAACCUGAGUAAAGAAAAAAGAAGGUGAUUUUCAAGACACAUCCUUGCUGAAACAGAAUAAGCAAUGCAGUGUUUACUAUUUGUCUUUUGAGUCAAAAUACAAGUGAGAUUUCAGCAUUCUGUAUCAAGUGUUCUUUUGUACAUUUGAAAAUUAAGUUACAAAAGGAGAUGCAAACCGGGUUGAGGGAUGCUGUAUCACAAAGCUGUUAAGAAAUCUUUUCUCAACUGGAGACCUGCGAUUGUGAACCAACACUUUCUCUCUUUGAAGUCAGCAUCUGUGUCAUCCAUCCAGAGAGGAGUUGGUGCUCAUGCUUUAUGGAUUGCAAAGAUGAAGUAGCAGAUACGAAAGGACUAAAGUUAAAAUGGAGUAAAUACCUGAAAACAAAGUGAGCUGAGAAAAAUGCAAAAAACUUUAAAGGUUAAGCUAGGAGGUAGUCCCAAAAGCUAAAUAGGCUUAAAGUCCUUUUUUGUUUUGAAUCCUUACUACAUGUAGAAAUACCAUACAGACAGGCUUUGGUUAAGUGUGCGUGUUGAUGGAAGGAUUGUCAGAAGGAGAGCUGAAUACUCUGUUGUUUCUUUCUUUUGCUUUGUUUUGUUAUUUAGAGUGAGAUCAGAGGAAAUGUUAUCUUCUUAGCUUUUUCACUUCUGUAUAGGAUGUAUGUGUGUAGGUUUUGGUAGUGGCAGUGGGUGGCUGCAGAGGAGGGCUCUGUGAGGAGAGGCCGGGACCGCCUGGUGCUGGACACAGCCAGUUCCAGCUGGCUCCAAUGGACCCACCACAGGGUGUAGCUGAGCCCCUCAGCCAAGAUGGUGGCACCUCUGUGGAAACUUACUUUAAGAAAGGGUAAAAAAUGCUGUGCAGCAGAGUGUGAGAGAGAGGAGUGAGAAAAAAUGUGAGAGAAACAGCCCUACAGACCAAGGUGAGAGAAGGAGGAAGGGAAGGAAGUGCUCAGGGCGCUGGAGCAGGUGUUUUUCUGCAGCCUGUGGAGGACCACGUCAAAGCAGAUAUCCAUGCUGCUGCACUUGGAAGACCUCAUGCUGGAACAGGUGGAGAUGCCCUGAAAGAAGCUGCAGCCCAUAGAGAGCCCACGGUGGAGCAGGUUUUCCUGACAGGAACUGUGGCCUGUGGAGAGGAUCCCAUGCAGGAGCAGGUUUAUCCUGAAGGACUCAUGCUGGAGGAGGAGAGAAGUGUGAGGAGGAAGAAGCAGCAGAGAGGAUCUGUUGUGGGCUGACCGUAACCCCUGUUCCUAGAGGAGCUGGGAAUGAAGGAGUGAAGGAUUUUUUGUAUUAGCAUGUUAUUAACAGGACAAAGGUAGAGUUCAAAUAGUUUUCAAAACUUUUCAUAUUUGCCUUUAUUACUAGUGAAGUGUCACAGCCAUAAGCCUGAGAAAAAGGAGGUUGGGGAGAAGGUGUUUUAGCUUUCUGCUUUUGUUUUUCACAAUCCAACUCUAUUUUAAGUGGCAAUAAAAUAAUUUUCCCUAAGUUGAGUCUGUUUUGCCCAUGAUGGUAAUUGAUGAGUGAUCUCCCUGUCUUUAUCUUGACCCAUGUGCUUUUCCAUCUUAUUUUCUCCCACCACCCUGUUGAGGAGGAGGACUGCAAGAGCGGCUGGGUGGGUGUCUGGCUGCCAGCCAAGGUCAGCCCACCAUAACUUCCUUUACGGGCUUUUAAAGUAUUAUCAGUUUUAAAUGGCUGUCUGUGCUUUAUUGUCUUUCUACAUAUGGGCAGAUAUCAGAAUCUAUUAUGAAAGGCUAUAUAUGUAGAUUUCAGAGAUUUUUAUUAAGUAUUUAAAUAUUGAUAUGCUUUUUAUGACAAGGAUUGUAAUCAGAAUGGAGUAAGAAUGCUACCAGGCUGUCUGAAUUUGUC
This is a long non-coding RNA of Gymnogyps californianus (California condor), 2069 nucleotides long. RefSeq lists it as uncharacterized. The record is from RefSeq and is a predicted model, not a curated record. NCBI's taxonomy places the organism in Eukaryota, Metazoa, Chordata, Aves, Accipitriformes, Cathartidae. The transcript has 4 exons.